UUAUACAAAAUGUGUUAAGUGACUGUCAUCUCAUAAAUGAUGCUUCACGUAUUUUCAAAUAUAGUUUACAGGUUACAUAAUUUGUCUUUUAGAUCCAGGAUGAGUUUCACAGAAUUACAACGGUGCAUCUGGAAUCGAAGUUCAUCUCCAAGCUGGAAGAAUAUUCUCCCAGGCUUCUGAACCUCUUCCACUCAAAGGGUGGGACCAUGGGAUUAAGGUUGCAGACUAUCCUACUGAAGGCUCCUAGCAAUCCUAACAUCAACAUAACCAGAGACAUUGUCAUCCGGUGUCUGAUGUUGUACCUUGGGGAAUCUGCCGAUCAGCCCUUUAAAGAGUAUGAUGUAUGGGUACGGUCUGCUCCUUCUCCCAAGAACAUCUCAAGUCUCCGCUAGGUGCGGAGCCCAUCCCCCCACAUCCUGCCCUCCUCCGCUGCGCU
Molecule: RNA transcript, 436 nt
Organism: Fundulus heteroclitus (mummichog)
Lineage: Eukaryota; Metazoa; Chordata; Actinopteri; Cyprinodontiformes; Fundulidae
Exons: 3
Source: RefSeq, a predicted model, not a curated record